AUGGUAGGUGUGCCAUAUCAGUGUUUCCCACAGAAUUUUGAGAGACUGUGGCGGUGAUGACCAGGGGCGGUGGCUUUUGGGGCUCGAGCCCCGAAUGUUUUGUCAAAAGCCCCGAAUCUUUUCAGAUCUGUAAAAUGAAUUCAUCCAGGACGCUAGGUGGCGGCACUCAGCUUUAACUCUCCGGUCCCCCACUCAACUGAAAAUGAAUAAGAGAUGCGUGUUGAAGGCAAAAUAAUAUGCUGAAUCUCCCCACAGUAAACGCAUUUUCAAAGUGUCUUUAUUAUUACAGUGCCUUCGUUAUUACUGUAAGUGUAUAUUUAUAGUUAUGUGAUGUAAAUACUGUUAAAUAGCGUCAACUGAUAUAUUAUCUGCAUGGCUAACGUCUAACUUACUGUGGUGCUCUGGUCUAGUCUGCCUCAUUGGUCAUUGAUGGAUAUACGAUUUAUAUUUUUAAAGACGUCAGAAGUAAGAAGUGCAAAUAGGAAGAGAGGAGGGUGGAGAGAGAUCACAGAUAGACAGAAAGAGAGAGAAACGCUUUCAUAAGCAGUUUCAAAAUGACAAUACCAGUGUUGGGUAAGUUACUCAAAAAAGUAAUUAAUUACUAGUUACUAAUUACAUCUUCAAUCAUGUAAUUAAAUUACUUUACAAAUUACUCCAAAAAGUAUUUAAUUAUUACUAAUUACUUUCUAAAUCCUAUUUAGUACAUGAUACAAGGAUAGGCUUGAAAUGGCUCGAAGAAACAAUAUUUAAAAGUACAUCAAUUAUUCUGGUCCCACUUUAGGGUUAAUUUCUCUCUAUUAAUUAACUAUUAACUACUUUUGCCUCAAUAUACUCCAACUACUGCUUAUUAAUACUAAAGUAGUUGUUUAUUUUAAGUAUUUGUAGAAAUGGGGAGGGUUAAGGAUGUAGAAUAAGGUUUUGCAGAAUCAGGCAUUAAUAUGUGCUAUUUAAAGAGACACAAGGCAGCAUUUUUAUGUUAAUAAAUCAUCUUCGUAAGUCUGUAUAUGGUUAAAUGACUCAUUACAUAACGAAUGAAGACUCUCUCGCCCGCCCCUACCGUCUGUAGGAAGAAUACCCCACUUGCAAGUUCGCUGUAUCCGACCCGGUGUCCUUCAGUCUCGUCAAGUCUCAGAUAUAGAAAGCAUUUACUCCCAGACACUAGGGGGAGCUAGUAGAGAAAUAAUACUCAGACUUGCCUUGUGUCCCUUUAAGUAGGCCUAC
This is a long non-coding RNA of Misgurnus anguillicaudatus (oriental weatherfish), 1221 nucleotides long. RefSeq lists it as uncharacterized. The record is from RefSeq and is a predicted model, not a curated record. NCBI's taxonomy places the organism in Eukaryota, Metazoa, Chordata, Actinopteri, Cypriniformes, Cobitidae.